ACCCCAUAAUUAUAUUGAGAGGCAUCUUUUGAUAUUUAAAGUUUCGACGGUACAGGAUGGGCAUGCGUAACAUUAGCUAGUUGGUAGGGUAACGGCCUACCAAGGCGACGAUGUUUAGGGGUCCUGAGAGGGUGAUCCCCCACACUGGUACUGAGACACGGACCAGACUCCUACGGGAGGCAGCAGUGAGGAAUAUUGGUCAAUGGGCGCAAGCCUGAACCAGCCAUCCCGCGUGCAGGAAGACGGCGCUAUGCGUUGUAAACUGCUUUUCCAGGGGAAGAAAACCCACGACGUGUCGUGGCUUGCCGGUACCCUGGGAAUAAGCAUCGGCUAACUCCGUGCCAGCAGCCGCGGUAAUACGGAGGAUGCGAGCGUUAUCCGGAUUUAUUGGGUUUAAAGGGCGGAUUAAUAAGUCAGCGGUG
RNAcentral lists this ribosomal RNA (422 nucleotides) under uncultured bacterium. RNAcentral describes it as "bacterial SSU rRNA". It matches the Rfam family "Bacterial small subunit ribosomal RNA", at positions 168 to 596 of the family's 1533-position model. The record is from RNAcentral.